Molecule: long non-coding RNA, 2160 nt
Organism: Helianthus annuus (common sunflower)
Lineage: Eukaryota; Viridiplantae; Streptophyta; Magnoliopsida; Asterales; Asteraceae
Exons: 4
Source: RefSeq, a predicted model, not a curated record
UUUUAACGAACAACCAAAAAAAAAAAAACAAAACUUUAUAUAAAAACAAACCAAGCCUGCUAGCCAAUGACCAGCACACGUUCACCAACAUAUAGGCAGAACCCCAAAUACAAAACAAUCACAAGCCACAACACAGUUCAUACAAGAUAUAUCGAACUCAGCUCAGCAGAUUCUGGGGAUGUAGCCGCAGAACGAACACAAGAACGGCUGCACACUAAUAUUUCUUUUCUCUAGGGCCUCCACAUUUAUGCGUUCGAACCACUCCGAUCAUUCCCUCUGUUCGAAAAUUUCCGGCCGCGAUUUCAUCUCGCAACAAAGUUUUUGUAGACGGAUUCACAAACAAGGAUGAGAUUUAUAAGGAUUUCUCGAGCAAACCUUCAAUGGUAUCUUAUGGAAUGGCAUCCAUUCAGAACAGCUUUCAACACGAUGUGUUUUUGAGCUUCAGAAAAGACUAAGGUUUGGAUUUAUACCUCAACAAGAAGAGGAAUUCGGUUGAAGUGGUUGGUGUCAGUUAAAUCGGUUUUAUGGUGGUGGGAUUGAUUUUAGAACUCGCCAGAAAACUCCACCGAGUGGGUUUUCUAAUAAAUAAUCAUUUGACACUUUAGCAGUUGGAUUAACAGUGACCACCAAGGCUUCAGCAUGGAUCCAACUUGUUGUUUUUUCAAAUCGUAGUCUCCUGCUGAGCUCAGAGUUUUCAUCUUGAUAAGGAUGGCUUUCUCUUCCACCGGUAGCAUUCGAAAUGGACCUUGCUCUCACAAAUCUCUUCGACUUAAUUCAUCCGUGGACCCAUUCAGUUCAUCGUCUUCAAAAUCUGGGUAUGGACAGUUACCGACAAAGUUGUCUGACGUGAAAGAAACUCUGAGCUCGGGAGGAGACGAAGAUUUGAAAAAACAGCAAGUUGUAUCCAUGCUGAAGCAUUGGUGGUCACUAUUGAUCCAACUGCUAAAGUAUCAACAUAUCAAAAUGUGAACAAGCCUAUUUUGGAGAAUUAAACCUUUGGGGUUAGUGCCAAUGAACUUGUGGAUGCUCACAAGAGAGCAAUGAUAUAUGGGCUUAAACCCGUUUAUGCAUCCUUGAGAAACAAGUCUACAAACGUUCUGCUUCUAGGAGCAAUCCUUCUGUUGGUACUUUAGUAGUUGGAUCAACAGGGACCACCAAGGCUUCAGCAUGGAUCCAACUUGUUUUUUCAAAUCUUAGUCUCCUCUUGAGCUCAGAGUUUCCUUCACGUCGGAUAACUUCAUCGGUAACCGUCCAUACCCGGAUUUUAAAGACGAUGAACUGAAUGGGUCCACGGAUGAAUUAAGUCGAAGAGAUUUGUGAGAGCGAGAUCCAUGUGAUCGCACCUGAUUGCUUUUCAACAACAUUAAGCAUCUUCUUCACCAACAAAGGGCACUUGUGAUUCAUGUGAUCGCACCUUAUUGAUUUUUCGAAAUGGACUUGAAAAAUAUUUUGGAAAAUCACUUUCUAAUGAUUUAUAAGUUACGCUUUGAAGAAGAUUUUGAGUUUGUAAUCGUUGAGGCCAACUCAAUUAGCUUUGCUACUAUCCAAGAAAACGGGGAGAAUGAGGCUUUUGGGGUUACGUUUUCAAAUUUUAAAUAUGCGGGAGCCUAGCUAUCUACUCCAUGAAGGUUAUGAUGUCUCUCUUUUCAACAAGCCCUAUAUAUACAUACAUCUGGACACCUAAGGGUGGGCGGAGUGGGUUCGGAGAGUGGAGCAGGGAGGGGACUUUGCCGCGCGGUGAAGUGGUGCCGGCCUUCAAUCGGUGAGCGGUGAGUGGUUUGGGCGGUGACUUGUCACCGGCUCGGUGAAGAAGAGAAAGGUGGGAGAGAUAUGGUGAAUGGUGGGCCCCAACCCCUUUCAACCAAUCACAAUUUUUUUUUAAAAUUGUUUACCACUCUCCAUGUAUUUGACCAUUGCUAGUGAUUGAGUGCAAAAUGGGGAGUGGAGUGGGGACUUGACAUGACAUGACAUUAUUGGUUACAAAAUUGUUUAAACUAGGAUUGAGACCCGCCGCAAUGCGGCGGGCAUUCUUUAGUUAUAACUAAGUCGAUCUAGGACCUGCACGUUAUGUUAAACCUGUCAAACUGGGAAGAAAUAGACGAUAUAAAAACGUUCACCCACAGACGCAUGUUGCGUCGUGUUAACUCGCAAAAUUUAGAA